GAGCACAAUUGGGAAAGGUCUACGAGGAAGAGGUUAUGUGAAAAGCCGUUGUUAGUACGAUCUAUCCAUAUUUACCUCUGAUCGAUUUAAGGGAAACAAUCCCGACAUUGUCCUUGUUGACCCUCUAAAAUUUUGAGACGAUCAGAGCUCGUUUGUACUUCAAACAUGGAUUUCCCUUCUUCGAAAUUGCGUUUGUCGAACACAAUAAAAUUUAAUUUGAAACUUCUAAUUUUUCUACUGUCUAAAACUCCUACCAUGUCUCAUAUACACAGCCAUAACAAAAGACCAACCACGCCUAUAAC
Molecule: long non-coding RNA, 302 nt
Filed under: Linum usitatissimum (flax)
Lineage: Eukaryota; Viridiplantae; Streptophyta; Magnoliopsida; Malpighiales; Linaceae
Description: long non-coding RNA (LUSI_LNC003402)
Source: RNAcentral